Molecule: long non-coding RNA, 245 nt
Organism: Mustela erminea (ermine)
Lineage: Eukaryota; Metazoa; Chordata; Mammalia; Carnivora; Mustelidae
Exons: 3
Source: RefSeq, a predicted model, not a curated record
UUCAGCAAGGAGGCCGUGGGGCUCGGUUUCCAGGCCAGAGUGACUGUGGUGCGUCCCAGGGAGGUCACAUCCACCCUUGGAUCAUACGGGCUCUCUGCUCCCCCAGCCCACAGAGUAAAGAGUGCAAGGAAUGAACUCAAGACUGGUUUUGAAGGAAACACCAAGGAGGAGAUAUGAAGCAUUUAUGUUGUUUUCUGGUGGUAGGGAGUAGAGCAUAUGAUGGAAGAGGAAGAGGAGGAGGAAGA